GCCGUCUGAAUUGUGUCAGCAGUACGAGAAAGCUUUGUUAAACGUUAACAGCACUAACUGUGGCAUAAUCAUUUGCAUACAGAAGUCGUCAUGCUCUUCUCUCUUUGCUCUGUCCGUUCAUUCAUGUGAUUUAACAGCGACAAUUACAUCAAAAUAGAUUUACAAACCAGCAUUUGUAGACUAAAGGUCCCCGGACGCGUACACGUUUAGUGAACUUUCGCGCGCCGGAGUCAACGCCUCGUGCUUCUGUGUGUGCCGUCGUUUUGUGCUUAAGUCGUUCAGUGUUAUUCAUUUUGUGCACCUACGUUCACGUGUGACAAUUUUCGUCUCUGUAUGUGUCCAAGUGUCUGAACAAUUUUAUCUUGGACUCUACAACAGUGAACGGCACCGUGUAUUUUAAAACGUGAUUUUCUCCGUUUUUAUGUCCACCAUCUUUUUGUCUCUCUAAUUGUCUUCAUUUGUAUGUUGUUUGUGUUUCUCUGAGGCCAAAGAACGGCGUAGUAUGCUGGUGCAGGCCUGCCUGACGCCAGUAAACAGGUUUCAAAAUAACGACAAAGAAAAAAAAAACUUUCACAGUAUUACAUCGUACUCAAUGACUUAUGAUGCAGUAUAUUCAUAAUAUUACGUGAUGAGGCACGACUCAAUUUAUGCGAGCAUGUUAGCCCUCAAAACUGUCUAUGUUGGAACACUGUCACAGCUAUUCUGCUUCACGAGGAACCCAUUCAUGGCCAGAAAAUAGUGUGGUGCAUAGUUAGAGGUGACAGAAUAAUGGGCCCAAUAAUUUUAAUGACACAGUUAACUGUGAAAGGAAUGUGCAAGACUUUUGUAACCAAUUUUAAUGAGUAGAGUUAAAAGAAUGAAGCAUAGUAUUUUUUCAACAAGGGAGCACUAAAGGCCAAAGUAGCACAACAAACCCACACAUGUUACAGGAAUUCAAGGAUAAUAUCCAUGAGUCAGUUCAUUCACUUUCUCAAAGAGAAGUACAUUGUGUGACAAAUAAUUUCUUCAGUAGAUGUGAGGAAUGUGUGGAAAAAAAAUGGCAUGUACUUCCAGCAUCUCAAUGCAUGAAAUAGACAGAAGAUAGGAAUGAAGUGCCAACCUGUUCUAAACUGGGAGUGCAGUCUGUAGCAAAUUAUGUGGAGAGUUUGUGUAGCAACAGUAGUAAUACAAGGUGUCCAACAAAGGACUUGCUAACAUUAGAAUUAAAUAGCAUGAAAAUAGUAGAACAGACAUUAUGUUUAUUGUGAAAGCAGUAAGAACUUUAUACAGAAGCUUUGAAAUAAUAGUUACAAAACAUGGAACUGUCAUAGCAAAACAAUGUACUUAUAAAUAAUACUCCAAAGUUCAGAGCAAUCAGUUAAUCAAUUUCAUAUGGAGAGGCAGCUUGUAAAUGUUGGGCCGGUGGCAGCUGUAGUUACUCCUGAAGAUGUCACCAUAGUUUCUGAAAGAAUACAGCAGAAUAUGAGGAAAUUUGCCCAAACAAUUUCUAUAGAGGCUGUUUUGAAGUGUUCAAGCAUGCAUACACUACUGAGAAAUGGUCCACAUCUGUUCCUAUUCAAAAUACAAAGCCACCGGGUCAUAUCUGUAACCACUAUGAGAUAAAGGGCUUACUGCAGACCAAAUUCUCACAAUAUUUGAAGGAUUUGGUGCUGGCUGCAUCUGGUUUACUGGUUAGGGAUACAUCCAUCUGAAUGUGUUGGAGAAUAAGAAAACUGGCAAUUUUGGGGUACCAAAAAGCCCCUUUUGUAUGAAGAAAAACCAUUGCAUUCUCCUAAAGCUAUUGUUUAGGCUUGUGAUAUGCAGCAGGCAUACAAUCAGCCCUUACAUCAUGCAAGAAUCAGUAGCUUGUAAACAUUACUUUAUAAUUUUUGAAAAGUUUGUCAUCAAACAGUAAGCAUUAGAGCAUCAAUGUGCACUGAGUGAUUCAUGCAAAAUGGGGCCUGACCACAUCCAACCAAACAGGUGUUCCACUUUCUUGAGGAAUACUUUGAGAAUAGGGUCAUUGUGUGGAUUAUCCCAUUUUUAUGGACAGAGGCAUGGAAAGGGUCCAUAUUCACUCAGUCUGACUUUUGGGACUACUUUUCUGGGACACGUUGAAAUACAUUAUCAACUGGGACCAUCCCACCACACUGGAUGAAUAUGAACUGUUUGCAUUGCAACUGAAUUCUUAAUAAAAAGAAAAUAUGGCUUCGAAUUCAAUUUUUCUGAAUCUACAAGAGAAAAUGCUCAGUCAGCUACAUGCAUUGACAAUAUUUUAACGAAUUAUGAAUUUGAAGAUGGAUAUAAAUUUUGUCUAGAUCUAGGAAUUUCUGAUCAUUCAGCAUUAUUCAUUGAGCUACCCCGAGCAGGUAGAGAAGUCCCAUGUAAAAAAGCUUAUGUAAAAAGGAUCUUCAACCAAGAAACUUUGACUCUAUUCCAUGAUAAGCUCAAGGAAACAGAAUGGCACUUUGAUAAAAAUAUUUCAUGCACAGCAAAUUUUGAAGCAUUUCUAGGGGAUUUUCUAAGUGUUUUCAAUGAAAUGUUUCCACAAAAGACUUAUUUUAAUAAAAUGACAAAAUUAAAAUGGAUCACUAAAGGUCUAAAAAUCUCCAGUGCUAAGAAAAGGCAGCUACAUAAGGAACCAAGACAUAAUAAAAAAAAUUGAAUUUAUUGAAUAUGUUAAACGAUACAAAAGUACAUUUAAGAAAGUUGUCAAAGCAGCAAAGCAAAUGACAAAUAAUAAAUUAUUCUUAAAACAUGAGAAUAAAUCAAAGGCAAUGUGGUCAGUUGUAAAGCACGAAUUAGAUAUCAAAGCCUCUAGACAUGGAAUUAGUACAAUUAAGCUUGAAGAUGAGAUCAUUGUAAAUCCGACUUGAAUUUCAGAAUGCUUCAAUGAGUUCUUCAUUAAUGUAGUGAAACCAGAGGUUAAUAUUGCAGAUUAUGAGAAAAAUGUAUGUCCCUUUGGACUAAAUCAUAAUUCUGAAUGCCUCUUUAAAUUCAAAACAGUUUCAACAAUAGAUCUACAAAAAAUUAUAUUAAAACUAAAAUACAAAAAUUCUGCAGGUUGGGAUGGAAUACCAGCAAAAGCCCUUAAAUUUGUGUGUAAAAUAAUAGGAUACCCACUAUCUAAAGUAAUAAACCAAUCCUUUGAACAAGGAAGCUUCCCAGAGGUACUGAAGUAUGCGGAAGUAAAACUGUUGCUCAAAAAAGGAUCAAGAGAGGACAUGGGGAAUUAUCGUCCCAUCUCCCUCCUUCCAGUCCUAUCAAAAAUCUUUGAAAACGCUGCUGCUAUGCAGAUUCAAAAUUUAAUGGAGAAAUAUGAUAUUAUUACGGAAAACCAAUUUGGUUUCCAGCAUGGCAAAAGUACUACUGAUGCAAUUAACAAGUUUAUCGACAAGAUCAGCACAUCAUUAGACAACCAUAAUAAAGUAGCAGGAAUAUUUUGAGAUCUCACAAAAGCCUUUGACUCUGUAAAUCACGCACUGCUCAUCUAUAAGCUUGACAAGAGUAAUGUACUAAAUUGGCUUACUUCAUACUCAUCAAAUAGGAAACAAAGAGUGAUUGUCUCAUCAAAUGCAGGAAAUUACUAUUCAAAAUGGAAAACAGUAGCCCAAGGUGUCCCUCAAGGCUUGAUUCUAAGACUUAUUUUGUUUUUGUUCUAUAUAAAUGAUUUACCGAACAAUAUAAAUGCUCCAUUGAUUUUAUUUGCAUAUGACACAUCUGCAUUAACUGAAAACCAGAAGCCCAAAAAAAUCCCUCUCUACAUAAUAAACACAAUGAACAAACUAGAAACAUGGUUCCAACUGAAUGGAUUAAGAUUGAACGUCCGCAAAACCCACAUCGUCCAGUUCAGAACAAAACAGUCAAAGCCCCAAGAAAUUAAAAUAACUCAUAAAAAUCAGGAUAUAGAAGAAGUGGAUUCUGUCAAGUUUUUAGGGUUAAACUUAGAUAAAAAUUUAAAUUGGAAUAAACAUGUUGACUACCGGCUAAACAAAUUAUGUAGCUUUGCAUUUGCUAUGCAAAUAUUAGCUGGUGCAACAGACAUGAAUACAAGAAAAAUUGCAUACCACAGCUACUUUCAAUCAGUUGUAAGGUAUGGUAUUAUUUUUUGGGGAAAUUCAAGCAAUAUAUUGCGCAUACUAAAGUUGCAGAAAAGAAUAAUAAGGAACAUGUGUACUGCCCAUCCAAGGACAUCAUGUUGCCUACUAUUUGAAAAACAACAGUUAUUAACAGUUCCCUCCUUAUACAUCUACGAUAUUAUCAUCUUUCUACAUAGCAAUUUAGAGUUAUUCGAGAAAAACUGUUUCAAUCACACAUAUAACACGAGUAACAAAGACAAUUUUAUGCUUCCCACUAAUCGCUUAAAUCUAUAUGUGCGGUCUCCUUAGUAUAUGGCAACGAAAAUUCAUAACAAGCUAAAAGGAAAGAAUGUUCUGAGUAUGAACCUAGAGACACUGAAAUCAAAGCUAUAUGAUAUACUUGUCAAACGCUGCUACUACACUGUUGGGGAGUUCAUGAAGGAUGAACUGAACAUUUGAGCGGGAUAAAUUUACAUAUAGUCUUGUGUGUAAAUGUAGCUAUCCAUCACAAAAAGGAGGAAAGAAAAAUAAAAGUUUAUAUUAAUGUUAAAAUUCUUUGUACCAAUUAGGCCUAAGUUAAGUUAUCCAUUUUUUUGACCUGUCUCCUGUACACUAAUCAUAUGAUUGGAAAUUGUAUGUUAUGAGACAAAUAAAACACUAUUCACUAUUCAUUUCCAUACAUUUCAAGAUGUGUUAACAAAUGAUGAUCAGUGAGCAUUUUGAAAAGAUUGUGAUGUGAUUGCAAAGGCUGCUUGCUAAAGAUAAAUUUAUUUAUGCAUGCUGAUAAAAGCGGACAUUAUACAGUGCCUUAGCAGUUUUUCUAUGUAGUAUUCAUAACUUCUGUACAAAAUUCUUUGUGUUCAAAAUUAAUCUGCCAUUCAUUCAAUUUUUUUCUUUUCUGUGUUAGUUAAUUAUAAAUCAGGGAGUCCUUGGUUGGCUACCCUUUAUAUUUAUAGUUAAUGAAAACCCAGCAACUACACACACAAUUCUUCAGUCCGCAGAUCUUCAAACUUCCACUCCUAGGUACUCCACAAUGAAGAAAAGGGAGCAGAAUGAUAAAUAUGGUCCUGCAAUUGAGUCAAUCACUAAUACACUGCAGGAAGUUGAUGAUGAAACAGAUAUUUUUGCUAAAUUUUUGGGAGUGUAAAUCAGAAAAAUUGUGCCGAGGAGAAAAGGGAUGUAAAUCUAAU
Long non-coding RNA from Schistocerca serialis cubense, 5248 nucleotides. RefSeq lists it as uncharacterized. The record is from RefSeq and is a predicted model, not a curated record. NCBI's taxonomy places the organism in Eukaryota, Metazoa, Arthropoda, Insecta, Orthoptera, Acrididae. The transcript is spliced from 5 exons.